This 329-nucleotide ribosomal RNA is filed under the name uncultured eukaryote. RNAcentral's name for it is "partial 18S ribosomal RNA". It matches the Rfam family "Eukaryotic small subunit ribosomal RNA", at positions 1470 to 1796 of the family's 1831-position model. The record is from RNAcentral.
CCCUUAGAUGUCCUGGGCCGCACGCGCGCUACACUGAGUGUCUGAGAUACGAGUCUGCCUGGUCCGGCAAGGUCUAGGUAAUCGCUGAAAGACACAUCAUGCUUGGGAUAGAUUAUUGCAAAUAUUAAUCUUGAACGAGGAAUUCCUAGUAAGCGCAAGUCAACAGCUUGCGUUGAUUACGUCCCUGCCCUUUGUACACACCGCCCGUCGCUACUACUGAUUGGAUGUUUAAGCGAGGUUCUCGAACUGCUAGCGACUUAGCUUCGGUGAGGUCGCAGUGUGGGAAGUGAACCUAGCUUUGGUGUCUAGAGGAAGUAAAAGUCGUAACA